Molecule: non-coding RNA, 18827 nt
Organism: Callithrix jacchus (white-tufted-ear marmoset)
Lineage: Eukaryota; Metazoa; Chordata; Mammalia; Primates; Cebidae
Source: RefSeq, a predicted model, not a curated record
CCGGGGUUACCUGCUGGGUGUCUGUCCCCCGGCGGUGCCCCCGGAGUCCGGGUAGGGAGGGGGGGAAGCAGCAGGGGGGGGGGAGUGGGGGCUGGGGGGGCGGGGGAGACGGUCCCUCCUCUGCCUCCUGGGCCUGCCCCGGCGCUUGCAGCCUCUGCCUCCCUCCCUCCUCCUCCCCGUCCCUGAGUCCCGGAGUCAAACAAAGAACUGUAGCAGGCUCUCCCCAACCCCCUCCCUCCUCCUCCUCCUCCUCCUCCACCUCCUCCUCCCCUCCCUCCCUCCCCACCAGCAGGCUCCCUCCUCCUCCCUUCCGGUCUCUUCCUUUAACUACCCGCCCCCCCCAGCCCCCAGCACUAGUCUCUCUCCACCCACCCACCCCAACCUUUUACACACCCCUCAGCCUAGCCUUGUCCCCACUAGAGAAACUGUGGAGUCCCUUUGCAAAAUGAAAGCCUCCAGAGAACAACAUGGGAGGGGACUGAGGUCUUGCUUCAAAAUCAAGAACCACAAUACAAUUAUUUUAUUUUCAAGGCCCACGGAAUAGUCUUAGCUAUUUCUUCUCCAAAAGGGGAAAAAAUAAUCCUAAAGAAAGCAAUACAAAUCUGCCUAAAGGCUUCAUCAAAUAAAACACAAAAAGCAGUUGAAGCUAAUCUCCAGCCCCCUAACCCAAAUCUCCAAAUUAACACAAACUAUUCACUCCCCCCUAACAAACUCCUAAGGGUAACUGCUGGUUUGGAGCAGGCCCACAGGAAUAAUAAACUAAUAACACUAACAAUAAAAGUAUUUCAUAACAACAAGCACUCAUUCUGUGCCAGGCACUGUGCUAAAUGAUUUGCAUAAAUUAUCUCAUUUUUUUCCUCACAGCGGCCUUCAAGGUAGGUAUUGAUAUUUAAAUGUUCAAGAUUAAAAUGCAAGGCUCAGAGAGGUUGUGACCUUUCCAAGUUCCAGUAGCCACUAAGUGACUGAGCUGGAAUUAGAAUCCAGGUCUGAUCUGACAGCCCAAGCUCUAAGGUACAUAAAACUACAAACUGAUUUAUUCCAAGACCAUCUCCAACCCCAGGACUUAGUAAAGAAGAGCAGCCAGAACAAGCAACUGAGUCCCCCUCCACCUAGUGAGAGGCUACAGGCCGAUUCACCGGCAUACACACAAUAAAGACCCUUACUUUCCAGUCUAAUACUGUUUCUUGGCCCUUUUCCUUUCAUUGUUUGUAGAUAGGAGUGUGCCAUUAAGGGGACGUUAGGGAUAAGCUGGUGUGUAGUGAACCCCCGAUACUAAACACAACUCUUCUGUCUUGCAACCACUCCCACUUCAAAUCAAUCUAGGGAAGGGGGCAAUAGGACACUUGGUCACGCAGCAGGUGGGAAAGUAAAAAGACUGCUAGGUAGCUCUUUCUAUGGGGGCAGAGACUUGGAGGAGAAGCUCUUCUGUGCCAAUCUAGGGAAAAGUGACCCAAGGCUCCCUCAGCCCAAGCAAAGGGGCAAAGUCUUUCAGCCACACCACACCCGUGCCCCUCCCCCUCACAAAACUCCAGGCCGGGGUUUCCCACCUGCAGGAUGCUAAGACCAAGGGAAGGGAGAGGGGAAAGAGAUGGCACGGGACUGGGACUGGAACUGGACUCGGGGCAGAGGUGGGAGGGAAUAGAAGGGGGAGGAAGCCUCAUUGCCUGGCAACCGUCCCAGGGCACGUGCACUGGUGACAUCAUCCCAGGCCACCUCUAACACAGACCUUUGACCCCUAUGGGGCGGAGGGGGUGUGCUGGCUAAGCUUCCUGGAAACACCCUUAGGAAUUCUGGGAAUCCAAAAAGGAGAGGGAGGAAGGAACCCAGGCGUCCUUAUCUCUUUUACCCCUAUACGACUCCAGUCCCAGGGACUCAGGCCUCUUGCCUGACUCCUACUCUCCGCCCGCAGCCCUGACCUCCCCGCCUGCAGCCCUGACCUCCCAACCCACAUUUUUGACGGGAGUCGGCCCGACACGCCCCUCGAAGAUACUGUGCCUUCUCUCUCCCGAGCAAGAUCUCGGUGGGGGCCGGCAGGCGGGGACGGGGGCACCGGGUCCCGCGGGGUUCCGUCUUCCAUCUGCAGGAUCCCCCGUGCCCCAGCCGGCCGCCAGCCGUAAUCUGUCUGGGUCCCCAACCCUCCCGCCCCUCCCCGCGCUGUUCCAGGGCGGAGUCAGUGGAGUUGAAACCAGGACACGGCAAGAGGAAGAGUUAUAUAACUGAGAGAAGCGAAGAAGGACGAGUGGAGACAGGGACAGACAGCCCGAAAGGAGCCGAGGGAGGUGCAAAGAACGCCAGAGCGAAUGAGAACGAAACAUUAGGAAUGGGAAGGGUUUUGGUGCUCAUCAAAGAGCAGGAAUUCACGCGAAGAAGGGGCGUGAUGGCCCAGAAGAGUCACCUGGGCCGUCCGGGGCUUCCCCGCAGUGCCCUCCCCCGCCACCAACAGCAGCUGGGCCAGGGAGGGAGAAGCCUCGGGAAGGGGCGCUGAUACCCGCUCGCUUUCUCUUGGGGAAGCAACGUAAGCCAGAGCCCGGGAAGGCAGCGGCAGAGCAGAUGGGGCCGGAAACCACAGCUCCGCCCAGCCCACCUGGGAGUGUGGGGCGCCAGCUGGGGGGAGGUGGGGAACAGGUAGUCCGCCCUCCUGAGCGAGGCUGGGCAUUAUAGUCACGACCCGCGAAACGGUGCAGACCGACCGAGACGUGGGGGUCCCCAAGAGCUGAGGGGCGCAGCCUUCGGCGGCUUUACACUGACUCCACAAUGAGGAGGGGGCGCCCGGCUCGCCGCGCAGGCGCAAGGGGGUGCUCGGGCGCGUGCGGACCAGGGCUGGGGGGGGCGGUGGGCGCGAGCGUGUGGGAGUGCACGUGCGGGUCCCGGGCAGCUGCCGCCUCUCAGCCUCCGCCGCUGCCCCUCCCCUCUCCCGUUCCCGUCGCUAUCAUGACCCUUCCCCAUUGGCUAUCAGGGCCCUGACGUCAGGUCCAACCGCUGGAGCGGAUUGGGUGGACGGGAGAGUUUGGGAAUCCGGCUCGCAAGUCUCGCCCUCCAGUUACUCUGGCAACUGGGCAAGCCACCCUGGGGAGAGAAGGGGAGCUGAGGUGAACGCCGCGCCUCAGGUCCCGCCCCCUCCGGACAACCGCCGAAUCCCCUCUGGUAGCUGCGCAACUCGCUGCCUCCCCGCCUUCCUCCCAGGGCUCUUCCUGUCUCGGGAACCAGGCGUCCUGCCCUCGACCUUCCCCGCAGUCUCUAGGCCCACCGCUCUCUUCAACCUCCACCCAGUGUCAUAGCCAUAAGCUGAAGCAAACGGGAAGCGAAUCUACGUCGCUUAGCAACCAUCCUGCGUGUCCCCCCCCUGCAAUUUACCCGGGCCCGGGGAGGUGGAGACUGAGUCCCUAGAGUCCCCUCUCCAUCUUCUGCCCUGCCAUCUUCGGCCCACAAUUUCCUGUGAGGGGACCCAGAUGACAGGAAGUCAAAUGGGGGCUUCAGCCUACUUUUCCCUCGGACAGGGACCGGGGCUUCAGCUACCUUUACGGGUACGUCCCGCACCUGCACUCCGCGCCGCCCUGGGUGCGCGUCUCGCCCUCGCCAUCUCGUGGCUGCGUUGGGAAGAUUCCUCACAGAGAAGCUGUGCGGGGCGCGCGAGGGCUCGGGAACAGCAGAGUGGGGGCAGGACCAGGGAUGAGGAGACUAGCGGGGCGAGGCGUAGUGAAGGGGAGAUGCAGUGGGCAGAAUGGGAUGGAGGAGAAGGCUACCGCUGGGAGGCUCUCGGGGCCGCUGGUGGGAAAGUCAGACUGAGGUUUCUAUACCUCACCCAUGCAGAGAACUGGAGGGAGACAAAGUAGCCCUGGGACCGGGACACACCCCAGUCUGACCACAUCUGACCUUAAUGGGUCAUGGCAUUGGCUUGUCUGCAAACUCUGCCUUUUAGUCCUGCCUUUCCGUGAGGACCGCCGCGCCCCGCCCAGGAGUCGAGAAGGGGAAUUGCAGCCCAAGGGGAACUGGAGUCCUUUCAGGCCUCUCUGGACAUCCGGAACCUGACAUAUCUGCUUCCCAGGUCCCGCUCGCCUGAGCGCUGGUGCCAGCUAGGAUGCCGGAUGCGGGGUGCUGGCUUCAGGGUGCAAUGUACAGGGUUCAGCCCCUGAUCCCUGCCUGACAAAUCCCUAUCCCAUUUGGAUCACGCGCCGUUCAAAGGCCGGAAGUGGAUCGUAGGCAUGAGGCAGACAAGCUGCAUAGGCUCUGCCUCCACCAAGCAGGAGUUCUUCCGGUCCCAGCCAGCACCUUCCAGUACACUCUUUUGCUCAGAUCCCCAAGCACAACAGGCUCCCACCUUGGGUGGAUACACUAGGUUGCUGUCAUCCACAGAGGAGACGAUAAACUCCCAGGAGAGGCUGUCCACUGAAAUCUGGGGGUUGAAGGUGAGAAUAAGGGAAGACCCUGAAGAGGAGAAUAAAUGCACAGCCACAGCAUACAUCCUGCUCACACUUUACACAUUGCUCACGUUGUUUUGGCGAGCGGAAGACUGCAGCACAGCAGUGAGGAAGCCAGUGGGAAAGGUGAAACCAGACAGCCAGAAAAUGACAGGAGGCCGGGCCCGGCUGGCCCACAGCUCAAACUGCUCCACACGCAUGGCCAAGUCCCGUGUCCAAGCAGCCAAUGGCUUUUGUGAGGGGUAUGCCUAGGGAAGGAGUGCAUGCUUAUUCUCUCAUUUAGCCAUGCAUUCAAAUCCUUAUUUUUUCUUUAUUUUGGGGUUUUAAUUUUUUUUUAUUUUUUAGAUGGAAUUUCGCUCUUGUUGUCCAGGUUGUACUGCAACAGUGUGAUCCCAGCUUACCAAAACCUCUGCCUCCUGGGUUCAAGCGAUUCUCCUGCCUCAGCCUCCCUAGUAGCUGGGAUUAUAGGCGUUCACCACCACACAUGGCUAAUUUUUGUAUUUUUUUUUAGUAGAGACGGGGUUUUGCCAUGUUGGCCAGGCUGGUCUCGAAUUCCUGAACUCAGGUGAUCCACCAGCCUUGGCCUCCCAAAGUGCUGGAAUUACAGGCGUGAGCAACUGUGCCCAGCCCAAAUCCUUAUUUUUGAGCACCUGAAGCAGGUAUGAGAAGACUAUGUGGUAUCAGCCCCUGUUCCCCAACUACAGGUGAGCAAAGCUCUCCAAAGCCAACUUCCGGGAAAGAGGCACACGACAACUAUUCAUUAAUAACAAUGACCACAGUAAUAUUAACCAGGUACCAUUAAUGAAGCACCUUCUCAGUGGUAUGCACCAUACUGGGAAUCUUUGAGACAUACUUGGAGAGGUUAGUAACUUGCCCUGAGUAAGUCUUUAAGUUAAUAAGUUGUACAAAGUCAGUGAAUGGCAGAGUCAGGUUUCAACCUUGAACCUGUCUAACUUCAAAGUUUAGGCUCUCUACAGUUUGUUGUAUGCCCAUCUAGAACCAGGAGAUUGGGGAGCACAGGGCUGAGAGGGGAGCUCAUUGUUGGAGAAGGAUUAACAAUGGUAUCAUCUUGCCUUUCCCCAGAGUGGAGGAACGUGGGCAUCAAAGAUGCAAUUGAAAAUCUCUUCCAGACUUGUAGACAGGACAAUGAGGCCCUGGAUGCCUUUCUCUAGGUCUGUCAGUGAUAACCUGAGCAGGAUGAGGUGGAGCGUUAGAGAUGGAGUGGGCCUGGGAAUGUCAUUCUAGCCAGAAGGUGAUGGCCUCUCCCCACCCCUUCCUAUGUUCCACAGAGUCCCUCUCUGUCUUACAGGAUGGUCUGCAUCAGUUUGUUGUAUCUUUGAAUCUCCUGCAGAAGGACCACAUUGAGGGGGGAGGGGUCAAGAGCUAGCAGUUUUCGGGUCCCCUCGUAGUCGAUCAUUUCAGGGAUCUUCUGCUUCACAUCAGCAGCCAACUCAAGGACCUGGGCAGGCAGAAGCUCUGAAUGUAGCCCUGUCUUCUGGAAUUCUUCAGGAAUCAGUCCUGCCCUGAUUCCCUCCCCCAGGCCUGGCUCAUUUUACCUUCUCUUCCCGUGUCUGGCCUCCAGCCCUGAUGGGUGUAAUCUGAGGUUGCAAGGAAAGCAAAGUAUCAAAGAGGGUUCGUGCUUCAGUGAUCUGGGAGGCCACAUCAGCAUUGGGGUGCUGGCCAAAGGCCUCAGGGGGGUCCAUGCCAGGCAAUAAGCUGAUGUAUUCCUUGUAAGAGGCCAGGCUCCCAUCCUUGGGGAUGAAAUAAGUCUCUAGGGCUGACAACCUGGAAAGUCAUAGCAUAAUCACUGCCACAUUGUGGGGACUCAGGCCUCAAUGCCAGGCCAAGACCCCAAGCCUAUGCAACUAUUUGCCUAUUUGUCCAAUUCCCUGCCCUGUGCCCCUUCCCAAUCCCAUAAAUUCUGUCUUCUCCCAAUCUCAUGUCCUCUCCUCAAACAUUUCCCCCACCCCUGAUCCCGCCACCUGGCUGGCUUGUGACCUCUGGCUCCCUGCCCAGUGCCACUUCCCCUCACCGGUAGAAGGGAGUUGAUAAAGACUGGUCACAGAAAUAAUCAUUGAUGUAGGUAGUCAGCAGGCGCCGGUCCCAGUCAUCUGUGACAUGUCCACCAUAGUUGACGCCGGCAAUGAGGUACUUGAGUGCAUCCCAAGGUGUCUCCUCAUACUCAUCCAGAUAGAGGCUCAGCAAGUUCUCUGACACCUGGGCAUAGUCCCAACCCAAGCCCCCAUCGCCACACAGUUAUGGCAGGAAAUCUGCCAAUGGAGCUUCAAUAUAGCCUUUCUGUCUGUGGAUAUUCCCACAGGGAAGCCAUGGGGUAGGAAGUGUUAAGGAGAAAGGGCUGGGACAAGGACCCCUGGCUGUUACAAACCUCAAAGUCGGAGUCAUUGAAGCCAUAGAUAAUGUUCCAGCCAAGCUGCAGGAACUUUUUGCGUUCAAGUAAUACAGAGUGGAAGAAACAAAGUGCAAACAGCAGCUUCUUAUAUUUGGCAGGUUUGGAGCAGCGGGUAAACUGUGGUUCUGUCAUCAGUUGGUAUAGACGUGUCAUAUUGGCCUUUAGGCCCUGGGGACAAUAAAGUACAAAGAUGGGGUUGACAUGUAUCAUACUUAGAUCUGCCACUAGCACCUCCAUAUACAGUUGUGUGGCGGCUCUUCACUGCACAAAGCCACUGGCUGAAAGGGUGAGUGGAGGCUGAAAUGUAGCCCUUGAUCUACAUGCCAAGAUAUGCACUCCUCUACAAGGCUGGGUGCCUUUCUCUAUCUAAUUCGUAGACAGGCACUGUAUGGGCUUGUGGCAUGACUGACUUCUUGUCCCACCACUUUUGAAUCUCUCAACCCUGAUGUUCUCAGCAGUAGGUAGGCCAGCUCAAUUUGGGGUGCGAGAAAAUAUGAACAAAGAGGAAUACAUAUACAUGCAGUUAACAAAAAUGUACAGAAUUGUGUGCAAAGGUUAGUGUAGAUUUAAAAGGCCAUACUAUAUCAUCAAGGAGGAACAAUCCAUGUGAUUGGCAUUAUUUGGCUCCAUGAGCAAGCUGGGAUUUGAACUAAGCCUUCCAAAUGGGAAGGAUAUGACUAGGCUUGAGAGGGGAGUCUUCCUUUCCUGGAGAUGGAAGGAAUUGAAUAAAGGCACAGAGGAGAAAAUAAAGUGAGAGGAUGAGCCUGGCUGAAGUCAAAUGCAAGUGCUCAGGUGGGAAGAGGAGGGCCAUGGAUAGAUGGAGAUGCAAUAAGAAUGGAUGUUUAAGCCAUCUGUACUUGAUUCACCAGGCAUCAUGGAGUCACUCUAUCUUGAGUAGGACAGCAAUCUGUUCAAAGAGCAUUUUAAGAAGACUUAUCUGUGACUGACGGAAUGGAAUAGUGAGAAACUUGAGGAAUACUGGAUAGCAGUAACAAAAAUAAUAUGUGACUUUUUAAAAAAUGCCGUUUGCCAGAUGUGGCGGCUCAUGCCUGUAAUCCUAGCACUUUGGGAGGCCAACGCAGGUGGAUCACUUGAGGCCAGGAGUUUGAGACCAGCCUAGCCAACAUGGCGAAACCCCAUCUCUACUAAAACUACAAAAAAAAAUUAGCCGGGCAUGGUGGCAGGCUCCUGUAAUGCCAGCUACUCGGGAGGCUGAGGCAGGAGAAUCACUUGAAUCCAGGAGGCGGAGGUUGCAGUGAGCCAAGAUUGAGCCAUUGCACUCCAGCUUGGGUAACGAGCGAAACUCCAUCUCAAAAAAAAAAAUGACAUUUAUGACAUCAAGAUAUGUCAAGUAUUUAGAAAUAAAUCCAAUUAAAAUCUAUGAUUAUUUAUGGAGAAAAUUACAGAAUUUUAGGCCAGGCAUGGUGGCUCACACCUGUAAUCUCAGCGCUUUGGGAGGCCAAGAUGGGAGGAUUCCUUGAGCUCAGGAGUUCGAGACCAACCUGGGAAACAGCAAGAUUCUGUCUCUAUAAAAACAACAGCAACAACAACAAAAUAACAUUACAGAACUUUAGUAAAAUAAAGAAUAAAUGGAGGCUGGGCACAGGGACUCAUGCCACCUGGGAUCCCAUUGUGCUAUGAUUGCACCACUGCACUCCAACCUAGCUGAUAGAGCAAGACCCUUUCUCUCUCUAAAAAAAGAGGAAAAACAUGAGUAAAUGGAGAAAUAUACUUACAGAUUGGGAUCUUCAUUGUCCUAAAGGUAUCAAUUUCUCCCAAAUUAGUCAAUAGAAUUUUUUUAUACAACAAGGUAAUUCUAAAAUUUAUAUUGGUGAAUAAAAGGUCAGGAAUAGCCUGAAGAAGCAUAAGGUAAGGGGAUUGCCUUACCAGCUAUCCAGAAUUAUUAUAAAGCUAUAUGGUAAUUAAGACUAAAGUAUAUUGGCCCAGCACUGUGGGUUAUACCUGUAAUCCCAGCAAUUUAGGAGGCCAAGGUUGGAGGACAACUUGAGUCCAGGAGUCCAAGACCAGCCUGGCCAACAUGGUAAAACCCAAUCGCUACAAAAAUAUAUAUAUACAAAAAUUAGCCGGAGUUGUGGCACACACCUGUAAGGUGUAGGGGGGAGAAUUGCUAGAGCCCAAGAGGCAGAGGUUGCAGUGAGCCAUGAUAGUGCCACUGUACUCCAGCCUGGGCCAUAGAGCAAGACUCUGUCUCAAACCAACAAACAAAAAAAGGACUAAAGCAUUGACUCCAGGAUAAAACAAUUUGACCAAUGAACAGAAUAAAAGACCCUGAAAAACCCAUACAUAUAUGGAAACAUGAUUGAAGGCUGAGCAGGCACUACAGAUCAGAAAGGUACUUGCAUAGUAUUUAAUAAGUGGUACUGGGAGAAUUGGUUAUCCAUGUAGAAAAAAAUUAAAUUGGCUGGGUGCAGUGGGUGAUGCCUGUAAUUCCAACACUUAGGGAGGUUGAGGUGGGUAGAUCACCUGAGGUCAGGAGUUCAAGACCAGCCUGGUCAACAUGAUGAAACCCCGUCUCUACAAAAAAUAACAAAAUUAGCCAGGUGGGGUUGCAGGUUCCUGUAAUGUCAGCUACUCAGGAGACUGAGGCAGGAGAAUCACUUGAAACCUGGGAGAUGGAGGUUACAGUGCAUCAAGAUCAUGCUACUGCACUCCAGCCUGGAGUGCACUCCAGCGAGACUCUGUCUCAAAAAAAAAAAAAAAAGAAAAGAAAAAAAGAACGAAAGAAAAUUGGACCUCUGCCUCAUACCACAGUCACAAAAAUCAAUUCCAAGUGAUUAAAAACUUAAAUGUAGGCCGGUGAGGUGGCUCACGCCUGUAAUCCCAGCACUUUGGCAGGCCAAGGUGGGCGGAUCACAAAGUCAGGAGUUCAAAACCAGCCUGGCCAAUAUGGUGAAACCCUGUCUCUACUAAAAAUACAAAAAUUAGUUGGGCGUGGUGGCACGCGCUUUUAGUCCCAGUUACCCGGGAGGUUGAGGCAGGAGAAUCGCUUGAACCCAGGAGCAGAAGUCACAAUGAGCUGAGAUCAUGCCACUGCACUCCAGCCUGGGUGGCAGAGCGAUACUCCAUUUGGUAAAAAAAUUAAAGUAAAAAUAAAAUUAAUUAAAAACCUAAAUGUGAAAGUCAAAUUAUAAAUAUUUUGGAAGGCAAGUAUAGGAAAGUACUUUUACAGUCUUAAAGUAAGCAAGGACUUCUUGAACAAGACAAAGGAGCACAAACCAUUUAAAAAAGGAAAGAUGUAUAUCUUUCCUGAGGCUAAAUUCAACCUCAUAAAAAUUAAGAAUUUAUCUUCACAAAAAAACAGCAUAAAAGAGACAAACCGCAAAACACAUAACUGAUGAAGGAUUAGGAUCUGGAAUAUAUGAAGAACUACAAAACUCGAAGAACAUCAGGAAUGAAUGUCAAGUACAUAAUGUUGCAUAAAAAAAGCAAGUUACAGAGGAACGUAAAUAACAGUGUUUGCAUUAGCAAUACAAACUUUUGCAUUACAAUGAUAAAAAAUUCCUAACUCCAGGGGAAAAGAAAAAAAUUAUAAAAGAAAAUGAGAAAUACAAGAUUCAGAAGAGUGAUUUCCUCUGAGUGGAGAGGGAAAGUGAUAAGACUGGGAAGAGGCACACCAGGACUUCAAAGAAAAUGCUGGGAUUUUUCUUUCUUGAAAGGGUGAUGUGCACACAGAUAUUCAUGGAAUCAUAAUCCUUUAUAACUUGCUUGUAUUUUAUAAAUAUUCUUUUGUAUCUACUUAAUAUCUAGCUUUUAAAAAAGAUUGGGUAGCAGGAGGUGACCCAGGAAUAUACUCCAGGACUAAACCCCAAAGUGGCAACUGGGGGCUGUUAAUACAGGGACUUUCUUAUUUGAAGUAAAACUCAGGCCGGGCAUGGUGGCUUAGCACUUUGGGAAGACAAGGCGGGUGUAUCACAGGAGUUCAAGACCAGCCUGGCCAACAGGGUAAAACCCAGUCUCCACUACAAAUAUUAGGGGCCAGGUGCGGUGGCUCACACCUGUAAUCCCAGCACUUUAGGAGGCCAAGGCAGGCAGAUCAUGAGGUCAGGAGUUCGAGACCCUGGCCUGAAUGGUGAAACCCUUUCUCUAGUAAAAAUACAAAAAAUUAGCCAGGCAUGGUAGCAUGCACCUGUAGUCCCAGCUACUUGGGAGGCUGAGGCAUGAGAAUUGCUUGAAGCUGGUUGGUUGCAAUGAGCUGAGAUCAUGCCACUGUACUCCAGCCUGGGCACAGAGUGAGACUCUAUCUCAAAAGAAAAAAAAAUAAUUAGCUGUUUGUAGUGGCAUAUGCCCGUAAUCCCAGCUACUUGGGAGGCUGAGGCAGGAGAAUUUCUUGAACCCGGGAAAUGGUGCCCAGGCUGGAGUGCAACGGUGUGAUCUAGGCUCACUGCAGCCUCCACCUCUAGCUGGGAUUCUCAUACCUGAGCCCUAUAUAUUACCUUCCUGACCUCAGAUGAUCUACCCACUUCGGCCUCCCAAAAUGCUGAGAUUACAGGUGUGAACCCCUGCACCCAGCCUGAGCCACCAUGCUCAACUGAGACUCUUUCUUAAAAAUGAUCUUAUUUCUAAACACAGUCACAUUCUGAGUCUUGGGUGUUGGAACAAAAAAGUAUGAAAAGAGUGUGCUAUUAUUAUGUUGCUGGUGUGCCAAGAAGUGCUUUGUAAUCCAAUGGCAAUUCAGAGCUGGAACUGACUUUGGUACUGGUGCCAGAGAUGGGAUUAGAGUUGAAUCAUGAAAAGGACAAUUUCUCCAACAACUUGUGAAAGGAGAAAGUGUAGAAUCAGAAACGCUGAGCCAGGACUGAGGGCCCUCCCCUCUUAGUCCUUAGUUCAAGGACCAAGUAUUGAAAUUUUGCCAUAGGCAAAGAGGCAAAAGAAACAGAGGUAAUAAAUGAUUUGUCAAAAGACGGGGGGUGGGAAGCAGGAGUGAUGUGUCAGGGAGCCAGGAAAAGGGACAAGUCAACUGUGUCAACUGCCCCAAGGUGGUCAAGGAGGAUUAAGAAUGAUGAAAGGCACCCAUGCGUGAUUCAAACAGCACUUAUCUGUUAAGCAUGAUACAUACUGGCCCAUGUGCUUUUCACAGGGUGAGCAAAAAGGAUUUUGAUCUUGACUAAGAGCAAUGAAAAGCUACUAAAAUAGUUUAAGCAGGGGUGAGUGGGUGAACUGCAAUGACACGGCUGGUUUUAGAGGAUUGGGAUGAUUGCAUUUGGUGAUGAACUUGUGAUACUGGAGAUAAAAAUUUCAGUAGAGUUGGAGGAAAGGAAGGACAAAGAGGCAGGAAGUGUGACAUUAGGAAGAGAAUGUAAGGAAAUGCUGGGAGGCAGGAAGGUUCCGAGGUAUAAAAGAGUGACUUUGGGGACCCAACUACCCAAACUCAGGCUCUGGAAUGCUUAUUUACUCUUUCUGUAUCUCAGUGUCCUAUCUUUAAAAAUGGGGGCAACAGUAUUCAUCUGAUAGGGUGUGUGUGUAUGCCCAUACAUAUUAAACCAGUUAAUAAGUAUAAGUAACUUACAACAGUGCCUGGCACAUGAUAAUUACUCAAAAAAUGUUAGAUAUUACUAUUGUGUUCCAGGAGUUUGGCACAAACAGGAGAGGAAUGAGGUGAAUUUUUUUUUUUUUUUUUUUUUUGAGAUGGAGUCUAACUCUGUUGCCCAGGCCAGAGUGCAGUGGGGUGACCUCAGUUUGCCACAACCUUUGCCUCUUGGGUUCAAGUGAUUCUCCUGCCUCAGCCUCCCAAGUAGCUGGGCCUACAGGCACGCACCACCAUGCCUAGCUAACUUUUGUGUUUUUAGUAGAGACAGGGUUUCACUAUGUUGGCUAGGCUAGUCUCAAACUCCUGACCUUAUGAUCCACCCCCCUCAGCCUCCCAAAGUGCUGGGAUUACAGGCAUGAGCCACCACGUUUGGCCGAGGCAGAAUUUUUUAGAGGACAAUAAAAUCAAAGCCAUGUUGUUGUUGGGUUAAGCCUUCUCUCUGAUGCUAGCAGGAGAUAAGGUGGACCAGAUGGCCCUGCUGAUGCUGGCUCUCUAUGGCCACAUACCUUUGGUGGCUCUGUGGUCAUCUUGAUGCUGGCCUGCAAGAUUGAGAUAGGGAAGUCUGGGUGGGGGCUGGAGCUGAGCCAGAGACGGAAGGAUGGAUGAGGAUCCUCCACCUGCAGCUGCUCCACCAGCUUGUCCAGAUUAGGCAUCCAAGACAGUGACAGAUGGCAGUUUGCCAGGAACACCCAGUGUCCUGCAAGGAGAUGCCAGGGUCAGUGGGAAUCAUUUCCUAAGCUCUGCCUGUCCUCAUGCUUUCCACCUGAUGUAGGUUAGUGGGUGGCUGGGGAAGGUCUAGCACUCAGUGUGCCACUUUCUGGGGCUCUCUGUAGAAGUGGGAGGUGCAGGUACAGUAGUGUAAUUGAGGUUGGAGGUUCUAGGGACAAGGACGGGGCUGAAGCUGGGGGUGAAAGAAAGGAUGGACACCAACCCUGAGUCACACCCUCUCGGAGAAGUCGAGCAGCAAUGGGGGCCUGGCCCUGGCCCAGGGACAGGGCGUGGAAGCGCUGGGCCAUGCCUGUGUGCUCUGCCAGCUGGAGCAGGGCGCUGGUGGGGUCCACACCCGGGGACAGGAUGAACACAAGUGGGGAUCGUGGGGUUGAAUCCUCCAUCACCUGCCAGAAGCACAGAUAUGGCAUCAGGCAGAAGGCCACAUAACCAAAGUUGGGGAGAGAGAUGGAGGACACUGAAAUAGAGCAAGGAAAGCAGGAAGGACCCAGGGGCCGUGGGCUCAAGGAAGCCAAGCCACUGACCAGCUUCAUAUUCAGCACAGGCGGCUCAAUGAAGCGGGAGCCAAGGUUGGUGAUGAUGAAGGAGGUCACGCAGAAGGCCACGCGGUCCUGGCGCAGGGAGCGGACGAUCAGCAUCCGCUGCAUUUCAUUGCAGGCAUUUUCCCACUCACCUGGGGAGGAGACGCAUCAGCAGCCGACUGCCUGCAUCCAUGGAAGGACCCCCUGUGACCGGUACUGGCUAACCCGUCCCCCACCAGCUGCAUCCACGGAAGGACCCCAUGUGAUGGGUACCGCCAACCCAUCCCCCACCAGCACCCAGGGACAGUGACUUGGCCUGCCCUAAGGCCCCAGCCCAGGGCUGUCUGAACGGAGGGACAGCUGGUAGGAGAUGGAGACCUCUUGAAGCAUAAUAAACCACACAAGAUUGGUUGGCAAGAGAAGGACAGAGAGCACAUAAAUGACUGCCACUCCAUGCCAGAGACCAUGCCUAAGGUGGAACCUUGAAAGAGGAAGAAGCAGUGAGAAAUGAACCCAAGAGCUAUUAGAGGAAAAGAGUCCGACAAAGGACUGGCUGGGUGUGGUGGCUCAUGCCUGUAAUCCCAAUACUUUGGCAGGUCAAGGCAGGAGGAUCCCUUGGGGCCAGGAGCUUGAGACCAGCCUGGGCAACAUGGUGAGACCCCCGUCUCUGUUCAAAAAAUAGAAAAGAAAAAGGACCAAGUCCAAGGUCCCACACUAGAGAUGGAGGCCUGGGCAGAACUGUGUAUACUAGAGAAACCUCUCUCAAGUCAUUGCCAUGUAAGGACUCUGUUGAGGUUGAAAUGAAUAUAUAUAUAUACACACACACAUACAUAUAGGGAUAUAUAUAUAUAUAUAUAUAUACACACAGACAUAUAUAACUAACAUGUAUGCUGUGCUGUAUCCCCCAUCCCAUAUUCCUCAUGAUGAAAAAGACAGUGAUACAGUCUGUAUCUGGCACAGCUGCUGUUGGCCGAUCAGAUACACAUGUAGGAUCAUACACACAUACAGGAUGUUGGGACAGCUCUAUCAGUUCUCUACUUCAGAUUUGAGUGAAUAUAUAUAUAAUAAUAACAUAUAUAACAUACUAUAUCAUAGAUGAUAUAUGUGUACAAUAUACAACAUAUGUAUAUAAUAUAUAUUAGAAGUACAUAAUAUAUAACACAUGUAUUAUAUGUAUAUAAUAUAUAGGUAAUAUAUAUAAUGUAUAACAUAUAAUAUAUAACAUAUAUAAUAUAUAUUAUAUAUACAUAUUAACUGAAAUCUGAAGUAGAGAACUGAUAGAGCCUUGUCCUAAGAUCCUGUAUGUAUGUAUGGUAUGUAUAUCUGAUCGGCCAACAGCAAUUGUGCCUGGAUACAGACUGUAUCACCAUCCUUUUCAUCAUGAGGAAUGUGGGAUGGGGGUUACACACAGCAUGCACAGCAUACACGUUAGUUCCUUUUCCUGCUGCCACCUCACUAGGAAAAGCAGCCUGCAAUUGUGGAAAUAGUUCCACUACUAUAAAGCAGAAGUAGCUCUGCCUUAAUGAGUAAUUCUGGUAAGUUUCAACCUUUUGGACCCUUGCCGGGGUUGCUGUGUAUAAAGGUGAUGUGGGCUGAGGCGCAGUACCUGACCAAAGCACUUGGAAAUGGUACAGAUCACUCUCCAAAAAAUAUUCUUUAAAACAGCCGAGCGUGGUGGCUCACGCCUGUAAUCCCAGCACUUUGGGAGGCCGAGGCAGGUGGAUCACGAGCUCAAGAGAUCGAGACCAUCCUGGUCAACAUGGUGAAACCCCAUCUCUACUAAAAAUACAAAAAAAAAAAAAAAUUAGCUGGGCACGGUGGCGCAUGCCUGUAGUCCCAGCUACUCAGGAGGCUGAGGCAGGAGAAUUGUCUGAACCCAGGAGGCGGAGGUUGCGGUGAGCCAAGAUCGCGCCAUUGCACUCCAGCCUGGGUAACGAGCGAAACUCCGUCUAAAAAAAAAAAAAAAUUCUUUAAAACAACAUGGAGAUUCAAGGUGUCACCUUCCAGGGACUCUCUGUGAAUCUGCUGUGAUUCUGGGGGGGUUCCUGAUAAAAUAAAAAUAAAUAAAUAAAAAUAAAGUGUCACCUCCCAAGGACUUGAGAGCUUAUAGAUUCAGCCUUGGUAGUGACCUGAUAGAUGCCAUUAACAUCUAAAGAAAGAAGGUGUCACUCAGAAGGCACGUGGUCAGCUGGGCCACUCAGAGGAACACUUGCUGGGGGCCCACAAGGUGGCGGGGCGGGGGACGCUCUAACCCCACACAUGGGUGUUGGGUCUAGCCCUGAUGGAGCCGAUACUUUGGUGGUCUUUGCUCCAGCACCUGCCAGUCGCCAGGAUCAUGUGAUCGAGCUGGGUGCACCCUCAUCACCAACAUUCCGAUUGUAAUUUCACUUCCCUUGGAGAUGUGUCAGUAGGGAGGCAUCCAGGCUGCUUGAUAGUUCUUUUCAUUUUGUUUUAUUCGUUUCCCUUAUUUUUUUUAUAGAUAAUUCUAUGUUUAAUUACUAAUUUCAUGUGUGGUGGUGGUGUCGUCAUUGUUUAUUGUUUAUACAAGAAAUACAUGAGCAAGUUUAAAACCUAAAUGAUAUAAAAGGUUACAGGAAAAGUAGCAUCUAGACCAUGUUUCCCACACCUAGACUUCUUCGUCUGAGGCAAACUAUUUUUUUGUUCUUUCCUUUCUUUCUUUCUUUUUUUUUUUUUUUUUUUUUUGAGACGGAGUUUCGCUCUUGUUACCCAGACUGGAGUGCAAUGGCACGAUCUCGGCUCACCGCAACCUCCGCCUCCUGGGUUCAGGCAAUUCUCCUGCCUCAGCCUCUUGAGUAGCUGGGACUACAGGCAUGCGCCACCAUGCCCAGCUAAUUUUUUUUUUUGUAUUUUUAGUAGAGACGGGGUUUCACCAUGUUGACCAGGAUGGUCUCGAUCUCUUGAGCUCGUGAUCCACCCGCCUCGGCCUCCCAAAGUGCUGGGAUUACAGGCGUGAGCCACCGCGCCGGCUUAACCACUUUCCUUUUUAUUUAUGCUGAUUGUUACUUCUGUAUCUCUGAAAAAUAUGCUUAUGCCUCUAUUUUUAAAGUAUGCUAAUCUCUUUGCAGCUUUGAAUUUUUAAAAAUUAUUAUGAAAAAUUUUAAACCUAGAAACACCCAUCAGCUAGAUUUCACAGUUAACAUUUUGCUAUAUAUAUUUCAUAUACUUGUUUUUUGCCAAAGUAUCUUCAAGUAAAUUAAAAACUCAUGAAAUUUCAAGCCUAAAUACUUCAUAACACAUCUCUAAAAAUUAAUAAGGACAUUUUUCUGCAUAACCAUACACUAUUAUUAUACCUAAUAAAAUAUUUGUUGUAUCUUAGAAAAUAAUUACUACCUGUUUUUUUUUGAAUAGUGAAUACAUUUACAUCAAUAAAAAUCCAAAAGGAACAAAAGUACCUACAGUGAAGGGGAGGUCUUCCUCCCACUCCUGAGCCCUCUCCCAGGCCUUGCUCUAGUUUCCCGGGUAGCUUUCUAGAAUAGUUCCUGCACAGAAUUGCUUCUAUAUAAAGAAAACAUAAGCACUGUGAAGGCAGGGACUUGUUCCACCACUGAAUCUUUAGACCUAAAAUAAUGCUCAGUACUCACACGUUUUUAAUAAAUGAAUUUUUUUUUUUUAAGACAGAGUCUUGCACUGUCACCCAGCCUGGAGUGCAGUGGCAUGAUCUCAGCUUACUGCAACCUCCACCUUUUGGUUCAGGCAAUUCUCCUGCCUCAGCCUUCUGAGUAGCUGAGAUUACAGGCACCCACCACCAUGCCCAGCUAAUUUUUGUAUUUUUAGUAGAUUAAAUUUUGUAUUUUUAGUAAUUUUUGUAUUUCACCAUAUUGGCCAGGCUGGUCUCGAACUCCUGACCUCCAGUGAUCCACCUGCCUCAACCUCCCAAAGUGCUGGGAUUACAGGCAUGAGCCAAUGCACCUGGCCAGAAUAAAUGAAUUUUUAAUCAGUGGUUAUAUACUAUAACACUGUACUUUCCGAUUUUUUUUUUACUUGUUUCCAAAUCAGUUCUUAUGAGCUGCCUCAUUCUUUUUAGCAGCUGCAAAACACUCUUGUGAGUGACUGAACUAUGAUUUAUAUAACAAGUCUCCUACAGAUACACAUUUGUGUUUUUCCAACAUUCUGCUAUGAACAAUGCUGUAAUAAGUAUCCUUGUACAAGGUCAGGCAUGUUGUCUCACGCCUGUCAUCCCAGCUACUUGGUAGGUUGAGGCAGGAGAAUUGCUUGAACCUGGGAGGUGGAGGUUGCAGUGAGCCGCAGUCACACCAUUGCACUCCAGCCUGGGCGACAGAGUGAGACUCAGUCUCAAAAAACAAAACAAAACAAAGAAAUAAUCUAAAAUGGAUACACUGGGCAACAGCAAUAUAGACUAUGCUUCUAUAUGUAUAGAAUAUCCCUGGAAGGAGAGUCAAGAAACCGGUAACAAUAGUAACAUUGGCUGCCUCUAAAGAAGGGACGUGGCUGAGUGGGGAACAGGGUUAGGAGGAAGACUUUUCCUACCCUCAUGCCCUUGGGCCUUUUGAAUUUUUGAUAGCUAUUCCGAACCUCACAAAGUAAAAAAAAAAAAAAAAUUAAAGGAACAAGAAAUAGCAGUGUGAAGAUGUGCUCGUGCCUGUACAAAAAUUUUUCUUUCUUUUUUUUUUUUUUUUUGUAGAGACAGGGUCUUGCUAUGUUGCCCGGGGUCUCAAACUCCUGGCCUCAAGCAAUCCUCCUGCCUCUGCCUCCCAAAGUGCUGGGAUUAUAGGCGUUAGACAACAUGUAGAGAUGGGGCCUGUGCGGUGGCUUACACCUGUAAUCCCAGCCCUUUGGGAGGCUGAGGCAGGCAGAUUGCCUGAGGUCAGGAGUUCCAGACCAGCCUGGCCAAUAUAGUGAAACCCCGUCUCUACUAAAAAUACAAAAAAAAAAAAAAAUUAGCCAGACGAGGUGGUGGGCACCUGUCAUCCCAGCUACUUGGUAGGUUGAGGCAGGGGAAUUGCUUGAAUCAGGGAAGUGGAGGUUGCAGUGAGCCCAGAUCACACCACUGAACUCACUCCAGCCUGGUAGACAGGGCGAGACUCUGUCUGAAUUGUGUACUUUAAAAUGGUUACAAUAAUAUAUUUUAUAUGUAUUUUACCACAAUCAACCCCCUAAGAAAAGGAGGUAUUUAUAUGUGAAUUUAUAACCCCCAAUACAGUAAAUGCUUAUUGGUUGGA